This is an unclassified non-coding RNA of Pongo abelii (Sumatran orangutan), 148 nucleotides long. It matches the Rfam family "Metazoan signal recognition particle RNA". Rfam says of the family: The signal recognition particle (SRP) is a universally conserved ribonucleoprotein. The record is from Ensembl. NCBI's taxonomy places the organism in Eukaryota, Metazoa, Chordata, Mammalia, Primates, Hominidae.
GCUGGGCGUGGUGGUGCACGCCUGUAAUCCCAGCUACUUGGGAGGCUGAGGCGGGAGAAUCAUUUGAACUCGGGAGGCGGAGGUUGCAGUGAGCCGAGAUUGCGCCACUGCACUCCAGCCUGGGCUACAGAGUGAGACCCUGUCUCAA